UGCUCGUGCCUCUGUCUGUUGGUCCAUCCAGCCACUCUUCAGUCCAUAAACAUGUGCUGAAGAUCUGUGUUGGGCCUGGUUGGUGCUAAGGGUUCUGACAUGAAUACACCCCAGUGUCAGCCCCUGCGCGCCCAUGGAGGAGGUAGAGGAGAUAGAUGCAGGGUCACUUAAGGGUGUACUCAGGGGUCACUGGGCACAUGUUUCUCCCCAGCUCUGUGUUCAGGGACAUCAUGAUCACGGCUCAAGAGCCACCAUCACGAAAGUAUUUACACCCUGGGCAUUGGCCAGUGCUCGCACCGGGACUCACUUCCCAGGAAAGCGGGAAGUUGGUGACCACACACCCCUGGGUGUCAUCCAAGAAAGCGGGGACCACGAAGCAGAAGUCGGUAAUUCUGCCUGAGGGAGGCUGGAGCACUCCUGGAGCACCU
This is a non-coding RNA of Callorhinus ursinus (northern fur seal), 428 nucleotides long. The record is from RefSeq and is a predicted model, not a curated record. NCBI's taxonomy places the organism in Eukaryota, Metazoa, Chordata, Mammalia, Carnivora, Otariidae.